UGUAAGCGUAUACCAAAGUUGUUGCAGUUAAAACGCUCGUAGUCGGAAUUUGGCAGUUCCGGAUGUGUGCACGUCGUGUGCGCACUUCGCGGGGAUUGCUUUUGUGGUCUUGCGUAGGAUGAGGCACUUUUAUUAGUGAACGUCCUCACGCAACCACUUUUUACUGUGAGAAAAUCAGAGUGCUCAAAGCAGGCAUUUGCCGUGAAUGUAUUAGCAUGGAAUAAUAGAAUAGGACUUGGUUCUAUUUUGUUGGUGUGUUGGGACUGAGUAAUGAUUAAGAGGGACAGUUGGGGGCAGUUGUAUUUCGGUGCUAGAGGUGAAAUUCUUAGAUUACCGAAAGACAAACUGCUGCGAAAGCGUCUGCCAAGGAUGUUUUCAUUGA
RNAcentral lists this ribosomal RNA (382 nucleotides) under uncultured eukaryote. Its description in RNAcentral is "partial 18S ribosomal RNA". It matches the Rfam family "Eukaryotic small subunit ribosomal RNA", at positions 592 to 976 of the family's 1831-position model. The record is from RNAcentral.